This 253-nucleotide ribosomal RNA is filed under the name uncultured bacterium. Its description in RNAcentral is "partial 16S ribosomal RNA". It matches the Rfam family "Bacterial small subunit ribosomal RNA", at positions 524 to 776 of the family's 1533-position model. The record is from RNAcentral.
UACGAAGGGGGCUAGCGUUGCUCGGAAUCACUGGGCGUAAAGCGCACGUAGGCGGCUUUUUAAGUCAGGGGUGAAAUCCCGGAGCUCAACUUCGGAAUUGCCUUUGAUACUGUCUGUCUUGAGUCCGGGAGAGGUGAGUGGAAUUCCUAGUGUAGAGGUGAAAUUCGUAGAUAUUAGGAAGAACACCAGUGGCGAAGGCGGCUCACUGGCCCGGUACUGACGCUCAUGUGCGAAAGCGUGGGGAGCAAACAGG